GUAGGUGGCAAGCGUUGUCCGGAAUUAUUGGGCGUAAAGCGCGCGCAGGCGGGUCCUUUAAGUCUGAUGUGAAAGCCCACGGGCUCAACCGUGGAGGGUCAUUGGAAACUGGGGGACUUGAGUACAGAAGAGGAAAGCGGAAUUCCAAGUGUAGCGGUGAAAUGCGUAGAGAUUUGGAGGAACACCAGUGGCGAAGGCGGCUUUCUGGUCUGUAACUGACGCUGAGGCGCGAAAGCGUGGGGAGCAAACAGGAUUAGAUACCCUGGUAGUCCACGCCGUAAACGAUGAGUGCUAAGUGUUAGGGGGUUUCCGCCCCUUAGUGCUGCAGCUAGCGCAUUAAGCACUCCGCCUGGGGAGUACGGCCGCAAGGCUG
RNAcentral lists this ribosomal RNA (373 nucleotides) under uncultured organism. Its description in RNAcentral is "partial 16S ribosomal RNA". It matches the Rfam family "Bacterial small subunit ribosomal RNA", at positions 527 to 896 of the family's 1533-position model. The record is from RNAcentral.